AGUGAACGCUGGCGGCAGGCCUAACACAUGCAAGUCGAACGGCAGCACAGUAAGAGCUUGCUCCUACGGGUGGCGAGUGGCGGACGGGUGAGGAAUACAUAGGAUUCUACUUUUUCGUGGGGGACAACGUAGGGAAACUUCCGCUACUACCGCAUACGACCUACGGGUGAAAGCAGGGGAUCUUCGGACCUUGCGCGAUUGUAUGAGCCGAUGUCGGAUUAGGUAGUUGGCGGGGUAAAGGCCCACCAAGGCAACGAUCCGUAGCUGGUCUGAGAGGAUGAUCGGCCACACUGGGACUGAGACACGGUCCAGACUCCUACGGGAGGCAGCAGUAGGGAAUAUUGGACAAUGGGCGAAAGCCUGAUGGAGCAAUGCCGCGUGAGUGAUGAAGGUCUUCGGGUCGUAAAACGCUGUUAUUAGGAAAGAAAAGAAGUGUAAUAAAAUAGGGACGUCAUGACGGUACCUAAAGAGUAAGCAACGGCUAACUACGUG
This 492-nucleotide ribosomal RNA is filed under the name uncultured bacterium. RNAcentral's name for it is "partial 16S ribosomal RNA". It matches the Rfam family "Bacterial small subunit ribosomal RNA", at positions 29 to 507 of the family's 1533-position model. The record is from RNAcentral.